AACGCGAAGAACCUUACCUGGGCUCGAACGGCUUCGGAAAGCCGGUGGAAACACUGGUUCUCCCGCAAGGGACCGGAGUCGAGGUGCUGCAUGGCUGUCGUCAGCUCGUGUCGUGAGAUGUUGGGUUAAGUCCCGCAACGAGCGCAACCCUUGUCCUGUGUUGGCAUGCCGAAAGGCGCAACUCUCAGGAGACCGCCAGCGAUAAGUUGGAGGAAGGUGGGGAUGACGUCAAGUCAUCAUGGCCUUUAUGUCCAGGGCUACACACGUGCUACAAUGGGCGGUACAAAGCGCUGCAAACCCGCGAGGGGGAGCUAAUCGCAAAAAACCGUUCUCAGUUCGGAUUGCAGGCUGCAACCCGCCUGCAUGAAGCUGGAAUCGCUAGUAAUGGCAUAUCAGAACGAUGCCGUGAAUACGUUCCCGGGCCUUGUA
This 429-nucleotide ribosomal RNA is filed under the name uncultured Acidobacterium sp. RNAcentral's name for it is "bacterial SSU rRNA". It matches the Rfam family "Bacterial small subunit ribosomal RNA", at positions 958 to 1385 of the family's 1533-position model. The record is from RNAcentral. Lineage: Bacteria; Pseudomonadati; Acidobacteriota; Terriglobia; Terriglobales; Acidobacteriaceae.